This 329-nucleotide unclassified non-coding RNA is filed under the name soil metagenome. RNAcentral's name for it is "partial contains 5.8S ribosomal RNA, internal transcribed spacer 2, and large subunit ribosomal RNA". The stretch from base 1 to 120 matches the Rfam family "5.8S ribosomal RNA", at positions 35 to 154 of the family's 154-position model. The record is from RNAcentral.
GAUGAAGAACGCAGCGAAAUGCGAUAAGUAAUGUGAAUUGCAGAAUUCAGUGAAUCAUCGAAUCUUUGAACGCACAUUGCGCCCCCUGGUAUUCCGGGGGGCAUGCCUGUCCGAGCGUCAUUACAACCCUCAAGCUCUGCUUGGUGUUGGGCCCCGCCGCCCCGGCGGGCCCUAAAGUCAGUGGCGGUGCCAUCCGGCUCCGAGCGUAGUAAUUCUUCUCGCUCUGGAGGUCCGGUCGUGUGCUCGCCAGCAACCCCCAAUUUUUUUCAGGUUGACCUCGGAUCAGGUAGGGAUACCCGCUGAACUUAAGCAUAUCAAUAAGCGGAGGA